Molecule: ribosomal RNA, 543 nt
Filed under: uncultured Thelebolales
Lineage: Eukaryota; Fungi; Ascomycota; Leotiomycetes; Thelebolales
Description: eukaryotic LSU rRNA
Rfam family: 5.8S ribosomal RNA (bases 180-333)
Source: RNAcentral
GACUGCGGAGGAUCAUUAAGAGACGUUGCCCUUCGGGGUAUACCUCCCACCCAUUGUUUAUUAUACCUUUGUUGCUUUGGCAGACCCGGCUUCGGCCCACCGGCUCCGGCUGGUCAGUGUCUGCCAGAGGACCUAAAACUCUGUUUGUUAAUAUUGUCUGAGUACUAUAUAAUAGUUAAAACUUUCAACAACGGAUCUCUUGGUUCUGGCAUCGAUGAAGAACGCAGCGAAAUGCGAUAAGUAAUGUGAAUUGCAGAAUUCAGUGAAUCAUCGAAUCUUUGAACGCACAUCGCGCCCUCUGGUAUUCCGGGGGGCAUGCCUGUUCGAGCGUCAUUACAACCCUCAAGCUUUGCUUGGUAUUGGACAUUGCCAGUUUCUGGCAGGUCUUAAAAUCAGUGGCGGUGCCAUUUGGCUUCAAGCGUAGUAAUUCUUCUCGCUUUGGGGAUCCAGGUGGUUACUUGCCAAUAACCCCCAAUUUUUUCAGGUUGACCUCGGAUCAGGUAGGGAUACCCGCUGAACUUAAGCAUAUCAAUAAGCGGAGGA